CGAGCUCUCUCUUCCUCCGGUUCGCCCCAUUCCCUUCCUCCUCCGAUUGCCGGCGAUUCCGGCCACCCCAGGACGUGCCACCGGUCAUCCCAGGUUCGCCUCCUCCCUCCGAGCACGCCUACAUCCUUGGUUUUCCACGAUUUGGCCGGAAAACCACGGAUCGAACGAAAGACUCCUCCGGCUGCAGUUGACGAUUUCCGGCGAUUCCGGCCACCUCCGGUCCCCAUCUUUCUGUCGAAGGUUUGGUUUUCAUCACUGAUUAUUUUCCCUAUGGUCUUGUAACACGAUUUGAAGUGUAGAGGCCGGAUCGAAUUAGGGUUCUUGAAUUUUCUGGGUUUGUGUUCUUGGUUUGAUUUCGACUGUUUCUAGUUGUUAUUUGUAAAUGUUGUAGUUAUGAAGUGGAAUCAGUGUGUUGAGUAGGUGUUGUACCUGAAAUUUGGUGGCCGGAGGUGGAGGUUGGCCACCGGCGCGUGAAACCCACGCACUGCCACUGUAGGUGGCGCGUGAAACAGGGUUUCGGCCGGAAAUUGUGACUGUUGAACAUGUAUUCGAUCCUUUUUACAUCUAGUUAAUUAAUCG
Molecule: long non-coding RNA, 579 nt
Filed under: Rosa chinensis
Lineage: Eukaryota; Viridiplantae; Streptophyta; Magnoliopsida; Rosales; Rosaceae
Description: sRNA RchiOBHm_Chr2g0145541
Source: RNAcentral